RNAcentral lists this ribosomal RNA (1017 nucleotides) under uncultured organism. RNAcentral's name for it is "bacterial SSU rRNA". It matches the Rfam family "Bacterial small subunit ribosomal RNA", at positions 355 to 1375 of the family's 1533-position model. The record is from RNAcentral.
UGAGGAAUAUUGGUCAAUGGACGAGAGUCUGAACCAGCCAAGUAGCGUGAAGGAUGACUGCCCUAUGGGUUGUAAACUUCUUUUAUACGGGAAUAAAGUGAGGCACGUGUGCCUUUUUGUAUGUACCGUAUGAAUAAGGAUCGGCUAACUCCGUGCCAGCAGCCGCGGUAAUACGGAGGAUCCGAGCGUUAUCCGGAUUUAUUGGGUUUAAAGGGAGCGUAGGCGGACGCUUAAGUCAGUUGUGAAAGUUUGCGGCUCAACCGUAAAAUUGCAGUUGAUACUGGGUGUCUUGAGUACAGUAGAGGCAGGCGGAAUUCGUGGUGUAGCGGUGAAAUGCUUAGAUAUCACGAAGAACUCCGAUUGCGAAGGCAGCUUGCUGGACUGUAACUGACGCUGAUGCUCGAAAGUGUGGGUAUCAAACAGGAUUAGAUACCCUGGUAGUCCACACAGUAAACGAUGAAUACUCGCUGUUUGCGAUAUACAGUAAGCGGCCAAGCGAAAGCGUUAAGUAUUCCACCUGGGGAGUACGCCGGCAACGGUGAAACUCAAAGGAAUUGACGGGGGCCCGCACAAGCGGAGGAACAUGUGGUUUAAUUCGAUGAUACGCGAGGAACCUUACCCGGGCUUGAAUUGCAACUGAAUGAUGUGGAGACAUGUCAGCCGCAAGGCAGUUGUGAAGGUGCUGCAUGGUUGUCGUCAGCUCGUGCCGUGAGGUGUCGGCUUAAGUGCCAUAACGAGCGCAACCCUUAUCGAUAGUUACCAUCAGGUUAUGCUGGGGACUCUGUCGAGACUGCCGUCGUAAGAUGUGAGGAAGGUGGGGAUGACGUCAAAUCAGCACGGCCCUUACGUCCGGGGCUACACACGUGUUACAAUGGGGGGUACAGAAGGCAGCUACACGGCGACGUGAUGCUAAUCCCGAAAGCCUCUCUCAGUUCGGAUUGGAGUUUGCAACCCGACUCCAUGAAGCUGGAUUCGCUAGUAAUCGCGCAUCAGCCACGGCGCGGUGAAUACGUUCCC